Molecule: ribosomal RNA, 420 nt
Filed under: uncultured cyanobacterium
Lineage: Bacteria; Bacillati; Cyanobacteriota
Description: bacterial SSU rRNA
Rfam family: Bacterial small subunit ribosomal RNA
Source: RNAcentral
GGGGAAUUUUCCGCAAUGGGCGAAAGCCUGACGGAGUAAUACCGCGUGAGGGAAGACGCUCUGUGGAGUGUAAACCUCUUUUAUUGGGGAAGAAGACAAUGACGGUACCCAAUGAAUCAGCCUCGGCUAACUCCGUGCCAGCAGCCGCGGUAAUACGGAGGAGGCAAGCGUUAUCCGGAUUUAUUGGGCGUAAAGCGUCCGUAGGUGGCAAUUCAAGUCUGCUGUUAAAGCCCGAGGCUUAACCUUGGAGAAGCAGUGGAAACUGAAUCGCUUGAGAACAGAAGGGGCAGAGGGAAUUCCCAGAGUAGCGGUGAAAUGCGUAGAGAUUGGGAAGAACACCGGUGGCGAAAGCGCUCUGCUAGGCUGUUUCUGACACUGAGGGACGAAAGCUAGGGGAGCGAAAGGGAUUAGAUACCCCUG